CGGAUGACGGGAGCUUGCUCCUUGAUUCAGCGGCGGACGGGUGAGUAAUGCCUAGGAAUCUGCCUGGUAGUGGGGGACAACGUUUCGAAAGGAACGCUAAUACCGCAUACGUCCUACGGGAGAAAGCAGGGGACCUUCGGGCCUUGCGCUAUCAGAUGAGCCUAGGUCGGAUUAGCUAGUUGGUGAGGUAAUGGCUCACCAAGGCGACGAUCCGUAACUGGUCUGAGAGGAUGAUCAGUCACACUGGAACUGAGACACGGUCCAGACUCCUACGGGAGGCAGCAGUGGGGAAUAUUGGACAAUGGGCGAAAGCCUGAUCCAGCCAUGCCGCGUGUGUGAAGAAGGUCUUCGGAUUGUAAAGCACUUUAAGUUGGGAGGAAGGGUUGUACGCUAAUACCGUGCAAUUUUGACGUUACCGACAGAAUAAGCACCGGCUAACUCUGUGCCAGCAGCCGCGGUAAUACAGAGGGUGCAAGCGUUAAUCGGAAUUACUGGGCGUAAAGCGCGCGUAGGUGGUUCGUUAAGUUGGAUGUGAAAGCCCCGGGCUCAACCUGGGAACUGCAUCCAAAACUGGCGAGCUAGAGUACGGUAGAGGGUGGUGGAAUUUCCUGUGUAGCGGUGAAAUGCGUAGAUAUAGGAAGGAACACCAGUGGCGAAGGCGACCACCUGGACUGAUACUGACACUGAGGUGCGAAAGCGUGGGGAGCAAACA
RNAcentral lists this ribosomal RNA (712 nucleotides) under Pseudomonas sp. RNAcentral's name for it is "bacterial SSU rRNA". It matches the Rfam family "Bacterial small subunit ribosomal RNA", at positions 67 to 774 of the family's 1533-position model. The record is from RNAcentral. Lineage: Bacteria; Pseudomonadati; Pseudomonadota; Gammaproteobacteria; Pseudomonadales; Pseudomonadaceae.